CCGGCGCACGGGUGAGUAACACGUAUGCAAUCCACCUGUAACAGGGGGAUAACCCGGAGAAAUCCGGACUAAUACCCCAUAAUAUGGGCGCUCCGCAUGGAGAGCCCAUUAAAGAGAGCAAUUUUGGUUACAGACGAGCAUGCGCUCCAUUAGCCAGUUGGCGGGGUAACGGCCCACCUAGUCUUCGAUGGAUAGGGGUUCUGAAAGGAAGGUCCCCCACAUUGGAACUGAGACACGGUCCAA
This 243-nucleotide ribosomal RNA is filed under the name uncultured bacterium. RNAcentral's name for it is "partial 16S ribosomal RNA". It matches the Rfam family "Bacterial small subunit ribosomal RNA", at positions 95 to 334 of the family's 1533-position model. The record is from RNAcentral.